UGUUUUUCGAUAAAUGGGCUCUUUCAUUUGCUAUCAGUUCUUCUGCAGAUCAGAAUAGCCAGGAAAUGAAGUGUGGUCUUUUCUUUUUUUUUCUUUUGUAUUUUUUUUUCUCUUUAAAGAUGUUGCUGAUUGUCUUAACGGCCUGCAUGGAAUCAAAGGACUUUUCAUCAACAAAGACACAUAAUCAGACCAAAAAUGUCCUGUGAGAAGCUCUACCAUGUUGUCCCGUUCCUUUAUCAACAUAUCAAUAUGAAAAUGGCAGCUAUUUUGAGAGAGAACUCACAAUAUGUUCUAACAAUCCAAAUGAAUCUACUAGAUGAAAAGAGUUGGGGAUACACUCUAAACAAUCUUGUUCAGGUCUAACAUUUUGUCUUGUCUUGUAAAAUCUUCAGGAAAGGCCUCAAAGUCUAAAUCGCUUCUAUCAAUGUUUGUGAAAUAAAACAAGAAAUAUCCUAGAAUCCACAGUUGUUAUAUAUAUUUUACCUUAAACAAAUAUUUUAUAUGUUCA
This is a long non-coding RNA of Ahaetulla prasina, 508 nucleotides long. RefSeq lists it as uncharacterized. NCBI's taxonomy places the organism in Eukaryota, Metazoa, Chordata, Lepidosauria, Squamata, Colubridae. The record is from RefSeq and is a predicted model, not a curated record. The transcript is spliced from 3 exons.